This 550-nucleotide ribosomal RNA is filed under the name uncultured bacterium. RNAcentral's name for it is "bacterial SSU rRNA". It matches the Rfam family "Bacterial small subunit ribosomal RNA", at positions 355 to 896 of the family's 1533-position model. The record is from RNAcentral.
UAGGGAAUCUUCCACAAUGGGCGCAAGCCUGAUGGAGCAACACCGCGUGAGUGAAGAAGGGUUUCGGCUCGUAAAGCUCUGUUGUUGAAGAAGAACGUGCAUGAGAGUAACUGUUCAUGCAGUGACGGUAUUCAACCAGAAAGUCACGGCUAACUACGUGCCAGCAGCCGCGGUAAUACGUAGGUGGCAAGCGUUAUCCGGAUUUAUUGGGCGUAAAGAGAGUGCAGGCGGUUUCUUAAGUCUGAUGUGAAAGCCUUCGGCUCAACCGAAGAAGUGCAUCGGAAACUGGGAGACUUGAGUACAGAAGAGGGCAGUGGAACUCCAUGUGUAGCGGUGGAAUGCGUAGAUAUAUGGAAGAACACCAGUGGCGAAGGCGGCUGCCUGGUCUGUAACUGACGCUGAGACUCGAAAGCAUGGGUAGCGAACAGGAUUAGAUACCCUGGUAGUCCAUGCCGUAAACGAUGAGUGCUAGGUGUUGGAGGGUUUCCGCCCUUCAGUGCCGGAGCUAACGCAAUAAGCAUUCCGCCUGGGGAGUACGACCGCAAGGUUG